RNAcentral lists this long non-coding RNA (1851 nucleotides) under Pan troglodytes (chimpanzee). Its description in RNAcentral is "lincRNA". The stretch from base 383 to 469 matches the Rfam family "mir-515 microRNA precursor family". Lineage: Eukaryota; Metazoa; Chordata; Mammalia; Primates; Hominidae. The record is from RNAcentral.
CUUCAACAUCUUUGAUUCCAUUUUGGGUGCCUCCAUGGGGCUGUGUGUCCCUGUACUGGAACCCAAGUGAACACUUGGCUCAGAGUCCAUUUGCUGCUCUCUAGAAAUCCAGCCUAAUUCUCUUGUGCAAAUAUAAUGUGUAUCUAGUAGGCAUUGCUUUUUCUUUCUGGAGACAAAACUCAGGAGGAUUGCCCCUUGAUGAACAGGACUAACCUGCUGAUUCUUUGAAGCAAGGAACUGGAAAUGGUCCUUUUAGGGAUUUAUGCUCUGGAUUCCAGAAAACACGCAAACAGGGCCAAUAAAUGCAUCUUUAUUUUUGUGUCCAUUUUGACCUGGUCAAGGAAGAUUCCAACAAAAAAUCCACAGUGCCGGAGCAAGAAGAUCUCAGGCUGUGUCCCUCUACAGGGAAGCGCUUUCUGUUGUCUGAAAGAAAGGAAAGUGCAUCCUUUUAGAGUGUUACUGUUUGAGAAAAGCAACGUUGAAGUUGAUGCUGAUUUUGGUAAUACAUUUGCAGAGCAUGCUUAUCAUCAGACUUGGAUGAUGUUGGGUUCUGUUUUUGCUUUGUUUUUUUUCCAAGACAGUGUCUUUGUUGCCCAGGCUGGAGUGCGGUGGCUCUUCCCACCUAGAUCUCUUGGGCUCAAGAGGUCUUUUUUUAUUUUUCUUUCUCAAGAGAGAGUUUGGUGGUGACACCCAGGCUGGAGUGCAGUGGUGCAAUAUCAGCUCACUGCAGCCUUCCCCUGCCCGGUUCAAGUGAUUCUUUCACCUCAGCCUCCCGAGUAGCUGGGAUUACAGGUGUGGGCUACCACGCCCGGCUAAUUUUUUGUAUUUUUAGUAGAGACGGGGUUUCACCAUGUUAGCCAGGAUGGUCUCAAUCUCCUGACCUCGUGAUCCACCCGCCUCAGCCUCCCAAAGUGCUGGGAUUACAGGCGUGAGCCACCGCGCCCGGCCGAUAGUUUUUAAUUUUUGAUAGAAAGGGCAUCUCUCUUGCCUAAGAUGGUCUCAACUCCUGAGCUCAAGGGAUCCUAAAGGUGUGAGCCGCCUCGUCCUGAUGACCCAUUUCAAACGUAGCUGACUUGGCCAGGCAUCGUGGGGCACACAGUCCCAGCUACUGCAGAAGCCAGGGUGGGAGGGUCCUUUGAUUUCCAGGCUAUACCAUGCGCUGAUCACACCUUUGAUCCCGAGUAGCUGGGAUUACAGGCGGCCACCGCCACGCCGGCUAAUUUUUAUUUAUUUACUUAUUUUUUCAGACGGUGUUUCCCUCGUGUUGCCCAGGCUGGAGUGCAAUGGCACGAUCUCGGAUCACUGCAACCUCCACCUCCCUGGUUCAAGCGAUUCUCCUGCCUCAGCCUCCCGAGCAGCUGGGAUUACAGGCAUGCAUCACCACGCCCGGCUAAUUCUUUGUAUUUUUAGUAGAGAUGGGAUUUCUCCAUGUUGGUCAGGCUGGUCUUGAACUCCCAACCUUAGGUGGUCCACCCACCUCGGCCUCCCAAAGUGCUGGGAUUACAGGCAUGAGCCAUUGUGCCCGGCCCAUUUCAUUUAUUUUUAUGUGUGCUGCUGAAGCAAGCACUUAUGUGUAGGAAUUGUUCUUCCUGUGAGCAUAUGUUGGCCAGCCUGGACCACAUACCAAGAUCCCAUCUCUUUAAAAACACAGAUUAUGUGGCACCUGGCACCUGGUCCCAGAGACUUCAUUUGGGUUGGUCAUUUGAAACACUAGCCUCCCAUCAAUUUAGUGUAAUCAAUCCAAAUCAUGUGUCCUUCAUUAAGAGACUAAGAACGCCUCCACAUCUAUCCAGUCUAUUUUGUAAUCCCCAACGGAUGUCAAUAUUAAUAAAAUUUCUUUUCUUUUUCCUA